Molecule: long non-coding RNA, 527 nt
Organism: Passer domesticus (house sparrow)
Lineage: Eukaryota; Metazoa; Chordata; Aves; Passeriformes; Passeridae
Exons: 2
Source: RefSeq, a predicted model, not a curated record
CCAUGUGACACUGUGGUGCCUCAUAGAAUCAAGGAGACCACUGUGAAACUCGGAGGUGCCAAGGAACCAAGGGUCCAUGGUGACCUUGUGGAUCCUGUAGUGUCACAGAGGAGCCAUUGUGACAUAGCGAAGGCGCAUUGAGCCAAGGAGCCAUGGUGACACAUCAGGGCUUUGUGGAACCACAAAGCCAUUGUGAUAUUGCAAGGCCUCAUGGAAGCACAGGGCCAUUGUGACACUGCAGAAGCAAGGGGAACAUUGUGACACUCCAGGGCCUCAUGGAACCAAGGAGACCAUUGGGACACUGUGGGGUCCCACGAAACCAAGGGAACAGGGAACAGACACCUGGCCAAGAGGGAGGCACUGAGUGGAUUUAUGACAUCCCCUGUGAUGGACUGGCCUCUGGAAAGGUGGAAGGAUGGAACGGGCUGGUGAAAAUGACAGCGAGCAAUGGGUGGUGGGACAAUAAUAUUCUGCUCCAACUGAUGUUAUUCUUGCAUUGAGAACAAAAUUAAAUUAAGUCAUGUAAA